Molecule: ribosomal RNA, 250 nt
Filed under: uncultured bacterium
Lineage: Bacteria
Description: partial 16S ribosomal RNA
Rfam family: Bacterial small subunit ribosomal RNA
Source: RNAcentral
UACGUAGGUGGCAAGCGUUGUCCGGAUUUACUGGGCGUAAAGAGCGCGCAGGCGGUCGUAUAAGUCGAAUGUGAAAGCCCCCGGCUCAACUGGGGAGGGUCAUUCGAUACUGUUCGACUCGAAGGCAGGAGAGGGAAGUGGAAUUCCGGGUGUAGUGGUGAAAUGCGUAGAUAUCCGGAGGAACACCAGUGGCGAAGGCGACUUUCUGGCCCGUAACUGACGCUGAGUGUGCGAAAGCUAGGGGAGCAAA